AUGCUUGCCCUGGCAGCACAUAUACUAAAAUCGGAAUGAUAUAGAGAUUAGCACGGCAAGAUUACCUGCAUAAAGACAACAUGCAAAUUCAUGAAGCAGUCCAUAAAUCU
Molecule: small nuclear RNA, 110 nt
Filed under: Tupaia belangeri (northern tree shrew)
Lineage: Eukaryota; Metazoa; Chordata; Mammalia; Scandentia; Tupaiidae
Source: RNAcentral